Molecule: ribosomal RNA, 1782 nt
Filed under: Triticum aestivum (bread wheat)
Lineage: Eukaryota; Viridiplantae; Streptophyta; Magnoliopsida; Poales; Poaceae
Description: partial small subunit ribosomal RNA
Source: RNAcentral
AUGGCUGCUGUAGUAACGAGCCUUCAUCACCACCUUCUCUCCAUCUCCAUUUGUCUCUGCUACUCACUGUCGUUGCUAGUCAGUGGACCUCUGGGCCUAGCUACCACGCUCUCCUUGAGCUUCAACUUCUCCAGUUCUAGCUCCGGCGACCUCUGCGACACGGAGCUCAGGUGCGAGCGUGAUACACGCAUGGGUUCCGGCGCCAUCGAGCUAACCAAGAACGAGAUCAAAGCCAACUUCUUCAGCAUCGGCCGGGCUUCCUAUGCGCGCCCGGUGCCGCUCUGGGACAAUGCCACGGGCGAGGUGGCCAGCUUCUCCUCCAACUUCACAUUCCAGAUCAGGCUAAAAAACGAGACGGACGACCGGCUUCGUCUCUGUAACUUAAGCUUCACGCCCAACGACGGUGUGGCUGAUGGUAUGUCUUUCUUCCUGGCGCACUAUCCGUCCAGGCUUCCUCCCAACAGCCACGAAGGGAACCUCGCUCUCUUCAAUGACAGCAACAACUUGAACGCCAUUGGCGACGACCGUGUCGUCGAGGUGGAGUUCGACACCUUUCGCAGCGCCUGGGACCACAACGACAACCACGUCGGCAUAGACGUGAACUCCAUCAACUCCAGGGCCUACACCAACGUGGCGAAGCGCCUGGUCUCCGACGAUAACAACACCAUGACUGCCGAGAUCAGCUACGACAACCGCACAGGUGUCCUGGUCGCCCGUCUCCACAUAGACGGCGAUGAGCCGCUUUACAACGUAAGCACGUCGGUGGACAUGAAGAAGGAAUUGCCCGAGAAAGUUGCAGUCGGCUUUGCUGCACCAACUGGCAUGUGCGUCGAGCUGCAUCAAGUGUUGUCUUGGUCGUUUAACUCCACUCUAGAUGAUGUCACAAUGGCUACUAGUCCGCGACAGUGGCGACUAGUGCCCGUGCUAGUGCCUUCCACAGUAGUAGCAUUUCUCGUGUUGCUCUGCGUCGCCGCCUUCGUAGUCCAUCGACGACGCGUGUGGGAGAGGGUAGAUGAUUCCGACGACGAAGCACGUGAGCAAGCUGAGUUUGAGAGAGGAGUAGGCCCUAGAAGGUACCGCUACCGUGAGCUGGCCGCCGCCACCAAGGACUUUGCAGAGGAGGGGAAACUCGGGCAAGGGGGCUUCGGUAAUGUCUACCGAGGCGACAACCUUAGCGACCAUGACCGCCCGGUGGCCAUCAAGAUGUUGUCUGCGGAAUCAUCUUCGCAGGGGAGGAAAGAGUUUGAGUCGGAGGUGAAGAUCAUAAGUCGCCUGUGGCACCGGAACCUUGUGCACUUGCUAGGCUGGUCCGACAGCCGCAAGGGGCUCCUGCUCAUCUACGAGCUCGUUCCUGAAGGCAGCCUUGAGCGACACAUAUACAGCACUAGCCGUGUCCUCACGUGGUCAGAGAGGUACAAGAUCACCCUUGGUCUAGGAUCUGCACUACGCUAUCUCCACACAGAGUGGGAUCAAUGUGUGCUGCAUGGCGACAUCAAACCCAGCAACAUACUACUUGACUCAUCAUGCAACACCAAGCUUGCGGAUUUCGGGCUGGCGAGGCUCGUGGAGCAUGGAGCAGGGCCACAGACCACCAAGGUCAUCAUGGGCACCGCUGGGUACAUAGACCCGGAGUUCAUCCGCACCCGUCGGCCGAGCGCCGAAGCCGACGUCUACAGCUUUGGUAUUGUCUUGUUGGAGGUCGUGUCCGGUCGGCACCCGGACAUGGAAAUGGAGCAAUCAGGCGACAAAUUCAUUCCGUUACUAAGGUGGAUCUGGGAUCUG